UGGGGAAUUGUUCGCAAUGGGCGCAAGCCUGACGACGCAACGCCGCGUGGAGGAUGAAGAAUUUCGGUUCGUAAACUCCUGUCGAGCGGGACGAAAGAUGCGCGGGUUAAUACCCCGCGCAAGUGACGGUACCGCCAACGGAAGCCCCGACUAACUCCGUGCCAGCAGCCGCGGUAAAACGUAGGACGCAAGCGUUAUCCGGAGUUACUGGGCGUAAAGCGCGGGCAGGCGGUUCUUCAAGUCUGAUGUGAAAUCUCCUCGCUCAACGGGGAGCAGCCAUUGGAAACUAGAGAACUGGAGUCUGACAGAGGUAGGCGGAAUUCCGGGUGGAGUGGUGAAAUGCGUAGAGAUCCGGAGGAACACCAGAGGCGAAGGCGGCCUACUGGGUCAGUACUGACGCUGAGCCGCGAAAGCUAGGGGAGCGAA
RNAcentral lists this ribosomal RNA (426 nucleotides) under uncultured bacterium. RNAcentral describes it as "bacterial SSU rRNA". It matches the Rfam family "Bacterial small subunit ribosomal RNA", at positions 355 to 772 of the family's 1533-position model. The record is from RNAcentral.